This 296-nucleotide ribosomal RNA is filed under the name Escherichia coli. Its description in RNAcentral is "partial 16S ribosomal RNA". It matches the Rfam family "Bacterial small subunit ribosomal RNA", at positions 129 to 427 of the family's 1533-position model. The record is from RNAcentral. Lineage: Bacteria; Pseudomonadati; Pseudomonadota; Gammaproteobacteria; Enterobacterales; Enterobacteriaceae.
CCUGAUGGAGGGGGAUAACUACUGGAAACGGUAGCUAAUACCGCAUAACGUCGCAAGACCAAAGAGGGGGACCUUCGGGCCUCUUGCCAUCGGAUGUGCCCAGAUGGGAUUAGCUAGUAGGUGGGGUAAAGGCUCACCUAGGCGACGAUCCCUAGCUGGUCUGAGAGGAUGACCAGCCACACUGGAACUGAGACACGGUCCAGACUCCUACGGGAGGCAGCAGUGGGGAAUAUUGCACAAUGGGCGCAAGCCUGAUGCAGCCAUGCCGCGUGUAUGAAGAAGGCCUUCGGGUUGUA